AGGGCAAAACAUUAAAGAGAUUAUUCCCCCAGAAGCUCAUGUGCGUUAAAAGAAAAUAAAAUCCUUGGCUCCUUUCCGGGUGAUGCUCCAGGGAGCAAGAGGAUGAGGUCACUUUACUGUAUGCGGAGUAUGAUUUAACAGACUGAAAACAACCCUUAUUGGGACAGAGGAUGUGGAACCAGACACAAGAUAAAGACGCUGCCAGCAAGAACAGAAAGCUAGGGGAGAGGGGAGGGCUGAGGAUCCCUGACUCCACUUUCAAUACCUCUUCAGGCAUUAGAUGCCAGUGAUGUCAGCUAAAGGAUAUUUUCUGCUUGCUGAUUUGCUGUUAGACCCAGAUACCUACCAUGCUUUGUCUCAACAAGAAGGAUGUGAGCCUCCCUCCAAGCUCCUUUCCAGUCUUCCUUCCAGUCUUCUCCUUUCACAUUCCUUCAUGGAUGAUCACUCAACCCUGUCCCCAUGACUAAUUUUUCCUCAUACAGAAAAUAAACUAACAUGAUGCAUCUACCAUGA
Molecule: long non-coding RNA, 513 nt
Organism: Alligator mississippiensis (American alligator)
Lineage: Eukaryota; Metazoa; Chordata; Crocodylia; Alligatoridae
Exons: 2
Source: RefSeq, a predicted model, not a curated record